RNAcentral lists this ribosomal RNA (497 nucleotides) under uncultured bacterium. Its description in RNAcentral is "partial 16S ribosomal RNA". It matches the Rfam family "Bacterial small subunit ribosomal RNA", at positions 28 to 507 of the family's 1533-position model. The record is from RNAcentral.
GAUGAACGCUGGCGGCGUGCCUAAUACAUGCAAGUCGAGCGAACAGACGAGUAGCUUGCUCCUCUGACGUUAGCGGCGGACGGGUGAUUAACACUUGGAUAACCUACCUAUAAGACUGUGAUAACUUCGGGAAACCGGAGCUAAUACCGGAUAAUAUAUUGAACCGCAUGGUUCAAUAGUGAAAGACGGUUUUGCUGUCACUUAUAGAUGGAUCCGCGCCGCAUUAGCUAGUUGGUAAGGUAACGGCUUACCAAGGCAACGAUGCGUAGCCGACCUGAGAGGGUGAUCGGCCACACUGGAAGUGAGAAACGGUACAGACACCUAGGGGAGGCAGCAGUAGGGAAUCUUCCGCGAGGGGCGAAAGCCGGACGGAGCAAAGCCGCGGGAGGGAUGAAGGUGUUAGGAUCGGAAAACUCUGUUAGUAGGGAAGAAGAAAUGUGUAAGUAACUAUGCACGUAUUGACGGUACCUAAACAGAAAGCCACGGCUAACUACGUG